GACGAACGCUGGCGGCGUGCUUAACACAUGCAAGUCGAACGGAAAGGCCCUGCUUUUGUGGGGUGCUCGAGUGGCGAACGGGUGAGUAACACGUGAGUAACCUGCCCUUGACUUUGGGAUAACUUCAGGAAACUGGGGCUAAUACCGGAUAGGAGCUCCUGCUGCAUGGUGGGGGUUGGAAAGUUUCGGCGGUUGGGGAUGGACUCGCGGCUUAUCAGCUUGUUGGUGGGGUAGUGGCUUACCAAGGCUUUGACGGGUAGCCGGCCUGAGAGGGUGACCGGCCACAUUGGGAGUGAGAUACGGCCCAGACUCCUACGGGAGGCAGAAGUGGGGAAUAUUGCACAAUGGGCGGAAGCCUGAUGCAGCAACGCCGCGUGCGGGAUGACGGCCUUCGGGUUGUAAACCGCUUUCGCCUGUGACGAAGCGUGAGUGACGGUAAUGGGUAAAGAAGCACCGGCUAACUACGUG
RNAcentral lists this ribosomal RNA (468 nucleotides) under uncultured bacterium. Its description in RNAcentral is "partial 16S ribosomal RNA". It matches the Rfam family "Bacterial small subunit ribosomal RNA", at positions 28 to 507 of the family's 1533-position model. The record is from RNAcentral.